CUCUCCUUAGCUCAGCUGGAAGAGCGCAAGACUGUAAAUCUUGAGGUCCGUGGUUCGAUCCCGCGAGGGGAGA
RNAcentral lists this transfer RNA (73 nucleotides) under Cladosporium sphaerospermum UM 843. RNAcentral describes it as "tRNA-Tyr (GTA) (tRNA-Tyr-GTA-1-1, tRNA-Tyr-GTA-1-2)". It matches the Rfam family "tRNA". From Rfam's summary of the family: Transfer RNA (tRNA) molecules are approximately 80 nucleotides in length. Their secondary structure includes four short double-helical elements and three loops (D, anti-codon, and T loops). Further hydrogen bonds mediate the characteristic L-shaped molecular structure. tRNAs have two regions of fundamental functional importance: the anti-codon, which is responsible for specific mRNA codon recognition, and the 3' end, to which the tRNAs corresponding amino acid is attached (by aminoacyl-tRNA synthetases). tRNAs cope with the degeneracy of the genetic code in two manners: having more than one tRNA (with a specific anti-codon) for a particular amino acid; and 'wobble' base-pairing, i.e. permitting non-standard base-pairing at the 3rd anti-codon position. The record is from RNAcentral. Lineage: Eukaryota; Fungi; Ascomycota; Dothideomycetes; Cladosporiales; Cladosporiaceae.